GGAAGUAAAAGUCGUAACAAGGUUUCCGUAGGUGAACCUGCGGAAGGAUCAUUAACGAAUUGUAAAGGGGAGCUGAUGCUGGUAGCUUUCGGGCUGCAAUGUGCUCGCUCUCCGACAUUUCUUUAUCCAUACACCUGUGAACCUUUGAGGGAAUCGAGUCUGUUUUAUUACGGAUUUGAGGCCCUCUUUAUUAACACAUACCCCCUUCUUAAAUAUUGAACGUGAUCGUGCCGAAAGGCCAUAAUCAAAUAUACAACUUUUAACAACGGAUCUCUUGGCUCUC
Molecule: unclassified non-coding RNA, 283 nt
Filed under: plant metagenome
Description: partial contains small subunit ribosomal RNA, internal transcribed spacer 1, and 5.8S ribosomal RNA
Rfam family: Eukaryotic small subunit ribosomal RNA (bases 1-54)
Source: RNAcentral